UGCAGGAAUGAAAAUUAUACGUGACGUUAAAGAGUUGUAACGUUAAAAAGAUGAUAUUGCUUAAAAUUGUUUAAUUAUUGGUACUUAAAAUUGUUUAAUUAUUGGUACUUGAAUCUGACUUUAAACCGGUUUAACACAAACAUACAAUUACAAUAAUCAAUACCAGGGUACAUGUAUCAUGCUGGAAAAUUACGAAUGUGUCAGACGAAUUAUUUUGUUUUUCAUAGAAGAUAAACAAAAUCAUCGAGCUUUGCAGAACGAUGAAUCAGAAUGACUGAAUGACACUAAGUUUUGCAAAAUGGAUAUAUCCCUAACUUCCAUGGCCUUCGACAUAUUUGAGUGGGAUCCUGAAACAACCCCUGACACAACAACUUAAUUUACAAGAACAACCCUGCGUAUAAGAACUACAAUACUUCUGACAAAAACAAACAAAAGCAACUCCAGAUUUAUGAACAACUCUGAUUACUAGAACAUGAACACCAACCCCAUCUUCAAGAACAACAACUUUAACCCCAGAACAUCAACACUUCCUGCAGGGACAACUACAAAAACAUCGGCUUCAAGAACAAAUUCAUCCUAAACACAAACAUCAGCAACAACAGCUACCCGAAUAAAACUACUCGAACCACAAGAACACCAGCAACACACUCUUUAAGAACACCAGCAUCAUCAUCUUCUUCUAGACUUGCAAAUGCAACAAACACCAAAGACAAAGUUGAAUGGCAAACUUCAAUGGAGAGGACAGAGUAAUGGCAAAAAGACGAUCAUUUUAAAGAGAGGAGGAAGAGGGAUAUGUAAAGAGUGUUCUGAGGCCAGGAUAUCAGCAGUGUGUUCAGUCAGGCGAGCGUUUACAAAACGCUCGCAAACGUUUUGUUUUGUAUCUCUGUUGCAACGCAGCGCAUAUACGUUAAGCGGGAAACCAAACAGCAAACGUUCGCCGCAAACAUCUUUA
Molecule: long non-coding RNA, 952 nt
Organism: Mya arenaria
Lineage: Eukaryota; Metazoa; Mollusca; Bivalvia; Myida; Myidae
Exons: 3
Source: RefSeq, a predicted model, not a curated record